UACGUAAGGGGCAAGCGUUAUCCGGAUUUACUGGGUGUAAAGGGAGCGUAGACGGUUUGGCAAGUCUGAUGUGAAAGGCAUGGGCUCAACCUGUGGACUGCAUUGGAAACUGUCAGGCUUGAGUGCCGGAGAGGCAAGCGGAAUUCCUAGUGUAGCGGUGAAAUGCGUAGAUAUUAGGAGGAACACCAGUGGCGAAGGCGGCCUGCUGGACGGUAACUGACGUUGAGGCUCGAAAGCGUGGGGAGCAAACAGG
RNAcentral lists this ribosomal RNA (253 nucleotides) under Blautia hydrogenotrophica. RNAcentral describes it as "partial 16S ribosomal RNA". It matches the Rfam family "Bacterial small subunit ribosomal RNA", at positions 524 to 776 of the family's 1533-position model. Lineage: Bacteria; Bacillati; Bacillota; Clostridia; Lachnospirales; Lachnospiraceae. The record is from RNAcentral.